CAGAUUCACUCCUCUUAUCAUCUUAUAUUUCUUUCUCUCUAAUACCCACCCCUCUUGAUAUUCUCUAACACACAUUCAAUCCCACGCCAAAAAAUCCGCCAGAUAAUUUGACUGCCGCCGGAAAACAUCCCCGCCACCAGAAAACUCCAUCGCCGACCGCCGGGAAAUUCCACAUAACCCACAUCACCCGCUGGAAAACACCCUCCUCUCUUUUUCUUUUUUUCUUUUCCCGUUUUUUCUUCUCUCCCUUUCUUCAUCCGCCGGAAAAUUCCACAUCACCCGCCGGCCUCCACCAUCAACACCACUGUCGGUUAGCACGUCCACCAGCAUUACCUUAGUUUUUUAUCAACUAACAACUGCCAAACACCACCACAAGCAACUACCACUGCCGUCGCUGCUUACCCUUCACCGCGGCUGCUACUCUCAACCACUGCUGCUUGCCUUCCACCGGCGUUGCUACCCUCAACCGCCGCCGCUGUUUUAUUUAUAUUUCUUGGUAUGAACCAAUCUAGAUUCUCCAGGUGUAAAAAUUUGACAAGAAAUUUGGUGACCUGAAACAUUCCGGUAGAAACUGUACGUAAUUACUUUUUUUUUGCUUUUUCGCUUUUUUAGCGGUUGAACUACAAGGAUGAAAGAUUGCUACAAAUGAGGUGGUGUAAGAUUGCAAAUAUGUAUGUAUUGUAUAUUUGUAUGUAGAUACUGUAACUAUAUAUUGUAUGGGUAAAUAUAUUUUGUUGUUUAAUUUUGGACAAAGUUUUUGAGUUUUAGUUAUUGUUUGUUUAUUGUU
Molecule: long non-coding RNA, 787 nt
Organism: Erigeron canadensis
Lineage: Eukaryota; Viridiplantae; Streptophyta; Magnoliopsida; Asterales; Asteraceae
Exons: 2
Source: RefSeq, a predicted model, not a curated record